AUUGAACGCUGGCGGCAGGCCUAACACAUGCAAGUCGAGCGGUAGCACAGAGAGCUUGCUCUCGGGUGACGAGCGGCGGACGGGUGAGUAAUGUCUGGGAAACUGCCUGAUGGAGGGGGAUAACUACUGGAAACGGUAGCUAAUACCGCAUAACGUCGCAAGACCAAAGUGGGGGACCUUCGGGCCUCAUGCCAUCAGAUGUGCCCAGAUGGGAUUAGCUAGUAGGUGGGGUAACGGCUCACCUAGGCGACGAUCCCUAGCUGGUCUGAGAGGAUGACCAGCCACACUGGAACUGAGACACGGUCCAGACUCCUACGGGAGGCAGCAGUGGGGAAUAUUGCACAAUGGGCGCAAGCCUGAUGCAGCCAUGCCGCGUGUGUGAAGAAGGCCUUCGGGUUGUAAAGCACUUUCAGCGGGGAGGAAGGCGUUAAGGUUAAUAACCUUGGCGAUUGACGUUACCCGCAGAAGAAGCACCGGCUAACUCCGUGCCAGCAGCCGCGGUAAUACGGAGGGUGCAAGCGUUAAUCGGAAUUACUGGGCGUAAAGCGCACGCAGGCGGUCUGUCAGUCGGGAUGUGAAAUCCCCGGGCUCAACCUGGGAACUGCAUUCGAAACUGGCAGGCUAGAGUCUUGUAGAGGGGGGUAGAAUUCCAGGUGUAGCGGUGAAAUGCGUAGAGAUCUGGAGGAAUACCGGUGGCGAAGGCGGCCCCCUGGACAAAGACUGACGCUCAGGUGCGAAAGCGUGGGGAGCAAACAGGAUUAGAUACCCUGGUAGUCCACGCCGUAAACGAUGUCGAUUUGGAGGUUGUGCCCUUGAGGCGUGGCUUCCGGAGCUAACGCGUUAAAUCGACCGCCUGGGGAGUACGGCCGCAAGGUUAAAACUCAAAUGAAUUGACGGGGGCCCGCACAAGCGGUGGAGCAUGUGGUUUAAUUCGAUGCAACGCGAAGAACCUUACCUGGUCUUGACAUCCACAGAACUUUCCAGAGAUGGAUUGGUGCCUUCGGGAACUGUGAGACAGGUGCUGCAUGGCUGUCGUCAGCUCGUGUUGUGAAAUGUUGGGUUAAGUCCCGCAACGAGCGCAACCCUUAUCCUUUGUUGCCAGCGGUCCGGCCGGGAACUCAAAGGAGACUGCCAGUGAUAAACUGGAGGAAGGUGGGGAUGACGUCAAGUCAUCAUGGCCCUUACGACCAGGGCUACACACGUGCUACAAUGGCAUAUACAAAGAGAAGCGACCUCGCGAGAGCAAGCGGACCUCAUAAAGUAUGUCGUAGUCCGGAUUGGAGUCUGCAACUCGACUCCAUGAAGUCGGAAUCGCUAGUAAUCGUAGAUCAGAAUGCUACGGUGAAUACGUUCCCGGGCCU
This 1361-nucleotide ribosomal RNA is filed under the name uncultured bacterium. RNAcentral's name for it is "bacterial SSU rRNA". It matches the Rfam family "Bacterial small subunit ribosomal RNA", at positions 28 to 1381 of the family's 1533-position model. The record is from RNAcentral.